ACUGUAAUCGCUGACCAGAUUGGUACUUAAGUGCUCGAUAUGCAGCCUGAACUACUGCAGGUACUUUGUGUGGUUCUAACUAUCCAUGUUUAUAUUUAAAUGUCAAUAAGAUCAGUAUGGAUGUGGAGCCAUGGUUCUGCUCACUAGCGACAAUGUGUAUUCUUGCAGUUAGAAUGGAGUUGUUUUAAAUACUAGACUAUCUACAGGACUGAGCGCUACAGGUGCAGAGGAUAGUUCUUUCGAUUAAUUGUCGUGUUGAGGCAAGUGCAUGGCGGACCUUUUCUCCGUAUACUUGACUGUGUUGUUGACGCAGGUACACACCCUCCUCUCUUCUUCCUGAUAUUUUCCUUCCCCUUUCUUCCAGUGCCCUACUUCUAGACCAUCUCAUCUAUGUAAUCAUGAAAUUUCAUUUUUCUAAAAUUUAAUUCAGGUCUAUGAAAAUAAGUUGAGUAGUCUGACCAGAGGAUGACAGAGGACGUCGAGAUUUUGAUCCAGCAGCCUUGCCUCCUUUCGUCCGGCGUGCCGCCUGCAGGAGGUUACGUUCUAGAUCUUCAGAAUUUUUAGGUACUCACUCUCCCUUGAUGCUCUUUGAUCGAACCUACUUUGCAGGAAAGCGUGCCAGUAGUAAGAAGUUUUAGCAAGUCUGUUAUUGAAAGUGCUGUAGGCACUGAUGUGAUCCGAGGUGACCAACCUGAGCAGCAGUUUAGUGAAGGUAUACUCAGACCCGAGGAUCCUAGAAAAUUAUAAAUUAUAGUUGUUUGCAUAGCCAGAUCAUUGAUGGGUGCAUAUUAUUGUUUAUACAAGCAAACUUAGUUGAGUAGUUCAUUGAUUAAUUUGGACUAACUGAAUGUGAUCUUCCCAAUCUAAUAUGUGUACUUCUAGCUCUAAGGACUAGCAAGAGUUAAAUAUUGCAGGUUGUAAAUGAUGGAACUCAUAUAACUGAAUGUGAAGGAAGUAACGAGAGUUGCUAAUUUCGUAUUUUUGGUUUGUACAACUCAGGUGUUUGAUACAGUUCUCCUAAAAAGGGAGAAGUGUCUGAGGUGAUUUCUUCUAUGCAUGAUAUUACAGUGUCCUCCCGUAUUUUCUGUUUUUUGUAGGCAUGUUAAAAUGUUGUUGUUCCUUUUGACCACACUAAUGUGUCUGUCCACUCACCAGUCACCACGCCUAACUAUUUUCUAUUUAUUUUUUUGUAGGAAAUCUACUUGCUCUUUCAAGCUAUGAAUAUUUUAGAUCAGUAUAUUUUAAGGUUGUAAAGACUGAUGUGUCGGCUAAAGCUUAAAGAUCAUAAAUUCAUUGUUUACCCUACCAAGUUUAUUUCUCAUUGAAGAUUAUUCUAGAAACUAUAUUAUAAGCCCAUUGCUACUUUUUACAUGUAACUUAUGGUAUAUCCUCAUAUAUGUCAAGACUAUAAAACAAGUGUCUUCGUCCUGCUCAUACAUCUUUUCAUUAUGAUCUGUGUUAACCUCUCCCAUU
This 1473-nucleotide long non-coding RNA is filed under the name Triticum aestivum (bread wheat). RNAcentral describes it as "long non-coding RNA (TAES_LNC026265)". The record is from RNAcentral. Lineage: Eukaryota; Viridiplantae; Streptophyta; Magnoliopsida; Poales; Poaceae.